GAUGAACGCUGGCGGCGUGCUUAACACAUGCAAGUCGAACGGGAAACCUUUUAUUGAAGCUUCGGCAGGUUUAGCUGGUUUCUAGUGGCGGCCCGGGGAGUAACGCGUGGGUAACCUGCCUUAUACAGGGGGAUAACAACCAGAAAUGGUUGCUAAUACCGCAUAAGCGCACAGGACCGCAUGGUCCGGUGUGAAAAACUCCGGUGGUAUAAGAUGGACCCGCGUUGGAUUAGCUAGUUGGCAGGGUAACGGCCUACCAAGGCGACGAUCCAUAGCCUGCCUGAGAGAGUGAACGGCGACAUUGGGACUGAGACACGGCCCAGAAUCCUACGGGAGGCAGCAGUGGGGAAUAUUGCAAAGUGGCGGAAACCCUGAUGCAGCGACGACGGGUGAAGGAAGAAGUAUCUCGAUAUGUAAACUUCUAUCAGCAGGGAAGAUAGUGACGGUACCUGACGAAGAAGCCCCGGCUAACUACGUG
Molecule: ribosomal RNA, 478 nt
Filed under: uncultured bacterium
Lineage: Bacteria
Description: partial 16S ribosomal RNA
Rfam family: Bacterial small subunit ribosomal RNA
Source: RNAcentral